Molecule: long non-coding RNA, 261 nt
Organism: Physeter macrocephalus (sperm whale)
Lineage: Eukaryota; Metazoa; Chordata; Mammalia; Artiodactyla; Physeteridae
Exons: 3
Source: RefSeq, a predicted model, not a curated record
GAGACUGAAAGUGAAAGACACUUGUGGAUUCCGCGUCGCUCGCGGGCAGCGAGACCCCGGGUCCGCGUGGACUCGGGCACCCGCGGCUCGGAGGCCUCCCCAGAGUCGCCCAACCUGCCCCCCCGCCCGCCCCACUGAAGGGCCGACAGGCUCCAUUAUGGCUCAGCAUGGCACUGCUCCCAGCCCACAGACUGAAGCAGACACCUAAUCACAAUUGCUACCUAACCACGACCUUCUUAUCUCAUUGAGGACUCUGAGAGG